GAUGAACGCUGGCGGCGUGCCUAAUACAUGCAAGUCGAACGAGGUGCUUUUGUAGCAAUACGAGAGUAUCCUAGUGGCGAACGGGUGAGUAACGCGUUGGUGACCUACCCCAAAGUGUGGGAUAACAGUCCGAAAGGAUUGCUAAUACCGCAUGUGGUUAUUGGAUUUAGAAACCGAUAACUAAAGGAGCAAUUCGCUUUGGGAGGGACCUGCGUCCCAUCAGCUAGUUGGUGAGGUAAUGGCUCACCAAGGCUACGACGGGUAGGGGACCUGAGAGGGUGACCCCCACAA
Molecule: ribosomal RNA, 291 nt
Filed under: uncultured bacterium
Lineage: Bacteria
Description: partial 16S ribosomal RNA
Rfam family: Bacterial small subunit ribosomal RNA
Source: RNAcentral